UUUUAUUUACUUUAUUUUGUUUUAGUAAUUUACUAUUUGGUAUUUGAUUUAGUUUUUUUAUUAUUUGAUUUUAUUUUAUUUUCUAUAUUGUUUUUUAAAAUUAAAAAAAAUACAAAAAAAGGACAGAAGAAAAAAAAAGGAAAAAAGAAAACAAAAAAAGGAAAGAAAGAAAAGAAAAUGAAAGAAAAAGAGUUUGUUGACAGAGGGGGAAUCUUCCAAAAACACAUGGACACUCCCCUUGACUCUUGGGCUCUCUCAUACACACACCCGUAACCACCCCCACCAUUUUUUCCCUUUCACUCCCAAUUCGACGCCCUCCUCAUUAUUCACCUCACACACGCUACGAUGGAUUCCUAAAUUCGCUCACUGAUCCCUCUUUCUCACUCUCUCUCGGACACACACAUGCACAAUCCUCUACUAACUGAUUUUCUUUUUCCUCUUUCAAACCACAAUCCACCAUAAUCGGCAUAAACACUGAUCACCUCCUGGAAAAGGGAGGAGGUCUUAAAACUCAUUCAUCA
RNAcentral lists this long non-coding RNA (521 nucleotides) under Vigna radiata. RNAcentral's name for it is "long non-coding RNA (VRAD_LNC018528)". The record is from RNAcentral. Lineage: Eukaryota; Viridiplantae; Streptophyta; Magnoliopsida; Fabales; Fabaceae.